CAGCAGCCGCGGGAAUACGUAGGUGGCAAGCGUUGUCCGGAAUUAUUGGGCGUAAAGCGCGCGCAGGUGGUUUAAUAAGUCUGAUGUGAAAGCCCACGGCUCAACCGUGGAGGGUCAUUGGAAACUGUUAAACUUGAGUGCAGGUGAGAAAAGUGGAAUUCCUAGUGUAGCGGUGAAAUGCGUAGAGAUUAGGAGGAACACCAGUGGCGAAGGCGGCUUUUUGGCCUGUAACUGACACUGAGGCGCGAAAGCGUGGGGAGCAAACAGGAUUAGAUACCCCAGUAGUCCCUGUCUCUUAUAC
RNAcentral lists this ribosomal RNA (301 nucleotides) under uncultured bacterium. RNAcentral describes it as "partial 16S ribosomal RNA". It matches the Rfam family "Bacterial small subunit ribosomal RNA", at positions 509 to 807 of the family's 1533-position model. The record is from RNAcentral.